Molecule: long non-coding RNA, 1422 nt
Filed under: Apteryx haastii (Great spotted kiwi)
Lineage: Eukaryota; Metazoa; Chordata; Aves; Apterygiformes; Apterygidae
Description: lncRNA (ENSAHAG00000001607.1)
Source: RNAcentral
AUGAGGAAAGGCUGAGAGAGCUUGGCCUGUUUAGCCUGGAGAAGAGAAGGCUGAGAGGGGAUCUUAUUAACGUGUACAAGUAUCUGAAGGGAGGGUGUCAAGAGGAUGGGACCAGACUCUUUUCAGUGGUGCCGAGUGACAGGACGCGAGGCAAUGGGCACAAACUGAAACACAGACAGUUCCAUCUGAACAUGAGGAAAAACUUUUUCACUGUGAGGGUGACAGAGCACUGGAACAGGUUGCCCAGAGAGCUUGUGGAGUCUCCUUCUCUGGAGAUAUUCAACACGCGCCUGGAUGCAAUCCUGUGCAACGUGCUCUAGGUGACCCUGCUUGAGCAUGGGGGUUGGACUAGAUGAUCUCCAGAGGUCCCUUCCAACCUCAGCGAUUCUGUGAUUCUGUGAAUCAAAUCUUCUGCAUGGUAGCAGAAAAUUGAUAGUUUUCACGUAAUCGUUUUUCAUUGACCUACCUGAAAUUUUUAUCUGGAGUCCAUUUGCUGGAAUGGUGUGCAUAUUACAAAAAUGGCCACUGUCAUUGCUGCUGUUGACAAUUUCAGCAGAGCAGUCAAAGAGGAACAGUGCUUGGAGACUUAAUUAUCCUCACUCUCAUUUUUAGGUCUUACUUCUCCAGGCAGCCUGAUGCAGAAAGGGUGCUGGCUUGCUUUUAUCACAUCAAAGCCUGAUAACAGCAAUUCUGUGCUUACCAACCUCCCUCAUGAGCGUAUACAGCAUCCACAGAUGCCUUUGAAGACUUCUGCUGAGGAUCAUGGACCAUGUCCUAGUUCUCUAAUCCUGCAAGGAGAUAACAGUCCCACAAUGGAGGAAAUGGGCAAAAGUGAUGGAAUCAGUGAGCUGAAACAUCUGCACAUCACCAGCAGCUGCCACUGCCCUCAAGGAAAUCUUCCAGAGAAGGAUCUCUCCCCUCAUUGAACUGAUGUGAUUCUCACCUAGCAAAAGAGCAUGUACAGAAUGAUUUGAGAGGAAAACUGAAGACCCAGUCCACUUGUUCCUAUCUUUGGUCUCCUUUUCUCAAAGUCGUGUUCCUGAAGUUAAUGAACACUUCACAUUAUUGCCUAACCAUAACUUCUCCUUUCCCUCUUGAGACCCAAUCCCCUGUGAAAAGUCUCUCAGUCCUAACCAAAACCAGAUAAACAGAAAUGCUAUUUCAGUUCAUUGAGUGUGACUGACACAAUGUUUGAAAACACCACUCAGCUUAGGCAGUCAAAAUGGCUAGCUCAUACUUCAGGCUACAAAAAAACCCUCAUUACAGCAAGUCUGAUCUGUACUCAGAAAAAUCUAUAGUGGUAUCACAAAGAUUGGUUUCCAAAUGAAAAAUAGAGGUUUGACAUGAACCUUAGGACUUUUUAUCUUCUGUGACAAGUUUGCAAAGGAAAAGGAACUUGUGUUUUAUGCCAGAGGCACUAGA